This 497-nucleotide ribosomal RNA is filed under the name uncultured bacterium. RNAcentral's name for it is "partial 16S ribosomal RNA". It matches the Rfam family "Bacterial small subunit ribosomal RNA", at positions 28 to 507 of the family's 1533-position model. The record is from RNAcentral.
GAUGAACGCUGGCGGCGUGCCUAAUACAUGCAAGUCGAGCGAACAGACGCGGAGCUUGCUCCUCUGUCGUUUGCGGCGGACGGGUGAAUAACACGUGUAUACCCUCCUUAUCUGUCUGGGAUCAUUUCGGAACUCCGGCUCUAAUACCGUAUAAUAUCUUGAUCCGUAUUGUUCAAUAGUGAAAGUCGGUUUUUCUGUCUCUUAUCGCUGCUUCCGCGCCGCAUUAGCUAGUUGGUAAGGUAACGGCUUACCAAGGCAACGAUGCGUAGCCGAACUGAGGGGGUGAUCGGCCACACUGGAACUGAGACACGGUCAAGACUACUACGGGAGGCAGCAGUAGGGAAUCUUCGGCAAUGGGCGAAAGCAUGACGGAGCAACGGCGCGUGAGUGAUGAAGGUCUUCGGAUCGUAAAACUCUGUUAUGAGGGAAGAACAAAUGUGGAAGUAAAUAUGCACGGCUUGACGGUAACGAAUCAGAAAGCAACGGCUAACUACGUG